Molecule: ribosomal RNA, 731 nt
Filed under: uncultured Leptotrichia sp.
Lineage: Bacteria; Fusobacteriati; Fusobacteriota; Fusobacteriia; Fusobacteriales; Leptotrichiaceae
Description: bacterial SSU rRNA
Rfam family: Bacterial small subunit ribosomal RNA
Source: RNAcentral
GAUGAACGCUGACAGAAUGCUUAACACAUGCAAGUCUUUGGCGAAGUUGUGCUUGCACAGCCUAGCCAGGCGGACGGGUGAGUAACGCGUAAGGAACUUGCCCUGCAGUCAGGGAUAACAGACGGAAACGACUGAUAAGACCUGGUAAAGUCAGGCGGACUCAUGUCCAGCCUGAUGAAAAGAGAUGCUGCAGGAGAGCCUUGCGUCCUAUUAGCUUGUUGGUGGGGUAACGGCCCACCAAGGCGAUGAUAGGUAGCCGGCCUGAGAGGGUGGACGGCCACAAGGGGACUGAGAUACGGCCCUUACUCCUACGGGAGGCAGCAGUGGGGAAUAUUGGACAAUGGGGGCAACCCUGAUCCAGCAAUUCUGUGUGCACGAUGGAGGUUUUCGGAUUGUAAAGUGCUUUCAGCAGGGAAGAAAAAAAUGACGGUACCUGCAGAAGAAGCGACGGCUAAAUACGUGCCAGCAGCCGCGGUAAUACGUAUGUCGCAAGCGUUAUCCGGAAUUAUUGGGCAUAAAGGGCAUCUAGGCGGCCAGAUAAGUCUGGGGUGAAGACUUGCGGCUCAACCGCAAGCCUGCCCUGGAAACUAUGUGGCUAGAGUACUGGAGAGGUGGACGGAACUGCACGAGUAGAGGUGAAAUUCGUAGAUAUGUGCAGGAAUGCCGAUGAUGAAGAUAGUUCACUGGACGGUAACUGACGCUGAAGUGCGAAAGCUAGGGGAGCAAACAGG